CCUACGGGUGGCAGCAGUAGGGAAUAUUGCUCAAUGGGGGAAACCCUGAAGCAGCAACGCCGCGUGUAGGAUGAAGGUUUUCCGAUUGUAAACUCCUUUUUGUAGAGAAGAUAAUGACGGUAUCUAACGAAUACUCACCGGCUAACUCCGUGCCAGCAGCCGCGGUAACACGGAGGGUGCAAGCGUUACUCGGAAUCACUGGGCGUAAAGCGCGCGUAGGCGGGAUAGCAAGUCAGAUGUGAAAUCCUAUGGCUUAACCAUAGAACUGCCUUUGAAACUGUUAUUCUAGAGUAUGGGAGAGGUAGGUGGAAUUCUUGGUGUAGGGGUAAAAUGCGUAGAGAUCAAGAGGAAUACUCAUUGCGAAGGCAGCCUGCUAGAACGUAACUGACGCUGAUGCGCGAAAGCGUGGGGAGCAAACAGGAUUAGAUACCCUUGUAGUC
This 440-nucleotide ribosomal RNA is filed under the name uncultured bacterium. RNAcentral describes it as "partial 16S ribosomal RNA". It matches the Rfam family "Bacterial small subunit ribosomal RNA", at positions 338 to 795 of the family's 1533-position model. The record is from RNAcentral.